AUUGAACGCUGGCGGCAUGCUUUACACAUGCAAGUCGAACGGUAACAGGCCGCAAGGUGCUGACGAGUGGCGAACGGGUGAGUAAUGCAUCGGAACGUGCCCAGUCGUGGGGGAUAACUACUCGAAAGAGUAGCUAAUACCGCAUACGAUCUAUGGAUGAAAGCGGGGGACCGUAAGGCCUCGCGCGAUUGGAGCGGCCGAUGUCAGAUUAGGUAGUUGGUGGGGUAAAGGCUCACCAAGCCAACGAUCUGUAGCUGGUCUGAGAGGACGACCAGCCACACUGGGACUGAGACACGGCCCAGACUCCUACGGGAGGCAGCAGUGGGGAAUUUUGGACAAUGGGCGCAAGCCUGAUCCAGCAAUGCCGCGUGCAGGAAGAAGGCCUUCGGGUUGUAAACUGCUUUUGUACGGAACGAAACGGCUCUGGUUAAUACCCGGGGCUAAUGACGGUACCGUAAGAAUAAGCACCGGCUAACUACGUC
RNAcentral lists this ribosomal RNA (482 nucleotides) under uncultured bacterium. Its description in RNAcentral is "partial 16S ribosomal RNA". It matches the Rfam family "Bacterial small subunit ribosomal RNA", at positions 30 to 507 of the family's 1533-position model. The record is from RNAcentral.